This 495-nucleotide ribosomal RNA is filed under the name uncultured bacterium. RNAcentral's name for it is "partial 16S ribosomal RNA". It matches the Rfam family "Bacterial small subunit ribosomal RNA", at positions 28 to 507 of the family's 1533-position model. The record is from RNAcentral.
GACGAACGCUGGCGGCGUGCCUAAUACAUGCAAGUAGAACGCUGAAGGAGGAGCUUGCUUCUCUGGAUGAGUUGCGAACGGGUGAGUAACGCGUAGGUAACCAGCCUGGUAGCGGGGGAUAACUAUUGGAAACGAUAGCUAAUACCGCAUAACAGUAGAUAUCGCAUGAUAUCUACUUGAAAGGUGCAAUUGCAUCACUACCAGAUGGACCUGCGUUGUAUUAGCUAGUUGGUGAGGUAACGGCUCACCAAGGCGACGAUACAUAGCCGACCUGAGAGGGGGGUCGGCCACACUGGGACUGAGACACGGCCCAGACUCCUACGGGAGGCAGCAGUAGGGAAUCUUCGGCAAUGGACGGAAGUCUGACCGAGCAACGCCGCGUGAGUGAAGAAGGUUUUCGGAUCGUAAAGCUCUGUUGUAAGAGAAGAACGAGGGUGAGAGUGGAAAGUUCACACUGUGACGGUAUCUUACCAGAAAGGGACGGCUAACUACGUG